CUUAAUGCUUCUAUCAAUUGAAUAAUCUAGGGGCCUUAAUCCGACUAUGAGUAACCCGCUUCGAUUUUAGUCAGACUAAGGUGUAUAAAUGCAUCUUAAUAUUCCAAUCAUAGUCGGACUAAGCCAAUAAUUAGAUUUUCAUGUAAACGUACUGACUGGCCACACAUUUGUCAAAAUAUUGUAGUUUUGCUUUUUAAAGCAUUAUUGAAAUUAAACAUUUGUUUUCACAAAUGUAUCAGUUUAGGAAAGGAAAACAAAAAUAAUUCGAUUUGAAGAAUUCUGACAUUGCCAAAUUUUACAUUGAUGGUUGACUGCUAGAGCAACAAUAUCUAGUUGACACGAAAAGCCCCUACCAUUUUUCAUUCACACCGAACAGGAAGGAACGGGAAGCCAGCAGGAAGUGUCUGCUGUGUCGAGAUAGGAAGACUUCCUGGGGUCUUUUUGGAGAGGGACAGGAGAAAAGAAUGACCUGAUUUUCUUUGGUUUGUUUAACCAGUUGGAAGCUGCUCAAUAACUACUCAAUAACCUAAAAUUAAAAAAAACAUUAGCAUUUUGAGUAGAUCUAAAGAUGUUAGUAAACGUUCUCAAACUAUUGUGUCCCUUUAAGUGUACCCCCUUUUUCAUUUCAAAUAAAAAAAGGAAAAAUGGAGGUUUGAGGGUGAGGUCUCCAUAGUUGCAGCCCAUGACAACUUUGUGAGCCUUUUUCUAAGCUAGUAGCAUUGUUGUGUUGGAGCGUUAAAAUGAGCGAUGUAUUUAAAAUACACCAUAUACUAAAAGUGUCUGAGAGGCCUAACCCUCUCUUGGACACAGCCAUCAAAAUUAAAUGCUUCAAAAAGAGAGCUCCACAAACAGCGUGCAUUAGCCUAUCAAUGUGGUGUCACGAAUGGAUGGGGACUUAAGCAGAGUACAUUUUUUAGUAUUGUGUAUUGUGCAUAAUAUAAUAGAUUCCCACUUAUCUAGCACAUGAUAUGUGGGAGA
Gadus macrocephalus (Pacific cod) is the source of this 978-nucleotide long non-coding RNA. RefSeq lists it as uncharacterized. The transcript has 3 exons. NCBI's taxonomy places the organism in Eukaryota, Metazoa, Chordata, Actinopteri, Gadiformes, Gadidae. The record is from RefSeq and is a predicted model, not a curated record.